RNAcentral lists this ribosomal RNA (490 nucleotides) under uncultured bacterium. RNAcentral describes it as "partial 16S ribosomal RNA". It matches the Rfam family "Bacterial small subunit ribosomal RNA", at positions 30 to 507 of the family's 1533-position model. The record is from RNAcentral.
AUUGAACGCUGGCGGCAGGCCUAACACAUGCAAGUCGAACGGUAACAGAAAGCAGCUUGCUGCUUUGCUGACGAGUGGCGGACGGGUGAGUAAUGUCUGGGAAACUGCCUGAUGGAGGGGGAUAACUACUGGAAACGGUAGCUAAUACCGCAUAACGUCGCAAGACCAAAGAGGGGGACCUUCGGGCCUCUUGCCAUCGGAUGUGCCCAGAUGGGAUUCGCUAGUAGGUGGGGUAACGGCUCACCUAGGCGACGAUCCCUAGCUGGUCUGAGAGGAUGACCAGCCACACUGGAACUGAGACACGGUCCAGACUCCUACGGGAGGCAGCAGUGGGGAAUAUUGCACAAUGGGCGCAAGCCUGAUGCAGCCAUGCCGCGUGUAUGAAGAAGGCCUUCGGGUUGUAAAGUACUUUCAGCGGGGAGGAAGGGAGUAAAGUUAAUACCUUUGCUCAUUGACGUUACCCGCAGAAGAAGCACCGGCUAACUCCGUG